UACCAGCCCUUCCGAGUGGUAGGGAUGAUUAUUGGGCUUAAAGCGUCCGUAGCCGGCUUAGCAAGUCUCCUAGUUAAACUCAGCGACCUAAUCGUUGAUCCGCGGGAGAUACUACUAGGCUAGGAGGCGGGAGAGGUCGACGGUACUUCCGGGGUAGGGGUGAAAUCCUAUAAUCCCGGGAGGACCACCAGUGGCGAAGGCUGUCGACUAGAACGCGCUCGACGGUGAGGGACGAAAGCUGGGGGAGCGAACCGGAUUAGAUACCCGGGUAGUCCCAGGCUGUAAACGAUGCGGGCUAGGUGUUGGGGUGGCUACGUGCCACUUCAGUGCCGCAGGGAAGCCAUUAAGCCCGCCGCCUGGGGAGUACGGCCGCAAGGCUGAAACUUAAAGGAAUUGGCGGGGGAGCACCACAAGGCGUGAAGCUUGCGGUUC
RNAcentral lists this ribosomal RNA (432 nucleotides) under uncultured archaeon. Its description in RNAcentral is "bacterial SSU rRNA". It matches the Rfam family "Archaeal small subunit ribosomal RNA", at positions 474 to 903 of the family's 1478-position model. The record is from RNAcentral.